AGAUUGAACGCUGGCGGCAUGCCUUACACAUGCAAGUCGAACGGCAGGCACGGGAGCAAUCCUGGUGGCGAGUGGGCGAACGGGUGAGUAAUAUAUCGGAACGUGCCCCAGGUCGUGGGGGAUAACGCAGCGAAAGCUGUGCUAAUACCGCAUACGUAUCGUAUGGAUGAAAGCGGGGGAUCGCAAGACCUCGCGCGAUUGGAGCGGCCGAUAUCAGAUUAGCUAGUUGGUGGGGUAAAAGCCUACCAAGGCGACGAUCGUGUAGCUGGUCUGAGAGGACGACCAG
This 286-nucleotide ribosomal RNA is filed under the name uncultured soil bacterium. Its description in RNAcentral is "partial 16S ribosomal RNA". It matches the Rfam family "Bacterial small subunit ribosomal RNA", at positions 26 to 307 of the family's 1533-position model. The record is from RNAcentral.